Molecule: long non-coding RNA, 468 nt
Organism: Caretta caretta (loggerhead turtle)
Lineage: Eukaryota; Metazoa; Chordata; Testudines; Cheloniidae
Source: RefSeq, a predicted model, not a curated record
UGUCAUAAAUAUAAAGGGAAGGGUAAACCCCUUUGAAAUCCCCCCUGGCCAGGGGAAAGCUCCUCUCACCUGUAAAGGGUUAAGAAGCUAAAGGCAGGUGAUUUCUGGUGCAUGGAUGGAGAUGAACAGAAAGCUGGACAUGUCUCAGAUCUGCCACAGCUACCAGUCAAACCCGGACCUUCAACUGCACUCUGAUGGGACACAGGAGGAACAUGGAUCUGGCUACAGGAGAUGGUCUUUCAGACACCACCACCACCACCAAGCGACUGAAACGCUGAUCAAAGGGGAGAGCCUGACUGAAAAGUAACCAGCCACCUGUGGUGAGAAGCAUCUAAGUUUUUAAGGACAUAGAAAGUGUUAAGAUCAGCUUAGAAUGUUUUGCUUUUAUUUCGUUUGACCAAAUCUGACUUGCUAUGCUUUGACUUAUAAUCGCUUAAAAUCUAUCUUUAUAGUUAAUAAAUCUGUUUG